This 460-nucleotide ribosomal RNA is filed under the name uncultured bacterium. RNAcentral describes it as "SSU rRNA". It matches the Rfam family "Bacterial small subunit ribosomal RNA", at positions 26 to 518 of the family's 1533-position model. The record is from RNAcentral.
AGAACGAACGCUGGCGGCAUGCCUAACACAUGCAAGUCGAACGUGAUCCAUGACUUCGGUUGUGGUGAAAGUGGCAAACGGGUGAGUAACGCGUGGGAAUCUGCCCAGAGGUAGGGAAUAACCGCGGGAAACUGCGGCUAAUACCCUAUGUGCCCUACGGGGCAAAGAUUUAUCGCCUUUGGAGGAGCCCGCGUCGGAUUAGGUAGUUGGUAGGGUAACGGCCUACCAAGCCUACGAUCCGUAGCUGGUCUGAGAGGAUGAUCAGCCACACUGGGACUGAGAUACGGCCCAGACUCCUACGGGAGGCAGCAGUGGGGAAUAUUGGACAAUGGGGGCAACCCUGAUCCAGCAAUGCCGCGUGAGUGAUGAAGGCCUUCGGGUUGUAAAGCUCGUUUCGGCGGGGAAGAGUGAUGACGGUACUCGCAGAAGAAGCCCCGGCUAACUUCGUGCCAGCAGCCGC